UUCUGAAGAUACAAUUUAAGAAUUUGCAGUCUAGUUUUGGUUUUAAUCUGGUAUUCGUACCGAGGCGUCGGGGCUUAACUGUGGCUGUGUGGGGUGAUAAAAUGUGUGGUAAUGGACGUUGGUGCGUGGGUUAAAGUGUGUAAGUGGUGGCUAUUUUAUAUGGUGUAUUGCAUUGGAGGCUGUAAGGGUUGGAGUAGUGGCUAUGUAUGAGAGGUGGAAAUAGGCUAGCAGUGAGAUGUUAGGGGAGAACUGUGUGUUUGACCUUCGGAGGAAGGUGAUAAUUACAUGUUGGUAACUUCUUGAGAUAACAUAUUAUUAAAUCUUGUGGAAUGUAAUGUGAGCUUGUAGACAAUAAUGGAAUUACAAGGCCGGUGAUAGGAAUAAAAUAUGAAGGCGUGCAGAUACGGUAUAAAGGAAAGAAAUAGAUGGCAAAUAGGAGAUAGAUAGUGGUUAUAUAAGUAUAGGACAGUUGGCUCCUUGAGUACGGGGUGUUAUAUUGUGUCGUGUAAAGAGAGAUUGUGUAACGAUGCGCGCUCUAAGAUAGUGGCUGAUAAGCGAUGAGUUUAUGCGAUGGCCUAUAUUGAGCGAAAAUAUUACGCGGAGGCACAGGCAGCAGAAACGGCAGGAAUACGAAGAAUCGAGAGAAGUGAAUGGCAUGUACCUGGCGGGCUGAUAAGAGGAGAUACACAAACACACAGAAAUAAAACAAUAGUGUGAGGGAUAUCAUAAGAGCUCUUAGGAAUAAAUGUGCCACCACACUAAUUCUAGCCACGAUUUAUCGUCAGGGAGCAAGAUCGAUGGCUAGUCAGACGCGGUUAGGGAGGUAAAAACUGAUGGGUGCCGAGGGUAGGAGACACAAGGACUAGGGCGGAAUAGGAAAAGGCUGAAGGGGAAACAGGAGAUAUUACCGCGUCUGAGAUACCGGUAAAAGGACCCCUCCCAGCCAGCCUAACGUUACAAACUUGGGUCUCACCAAUCCAACAGCUUCAGAUCCCAGCAGUCUAGAUCAGGGGCCUGGCGACUAAGUUGAAGGGCUUCUUAACCAGCCUAAAGAGCUUGGGAACCGAGAAGGGCCUGGCAGAGUAGGAGAGCCUGGUUACCAAGUUGAAGGCCUUCAUCCUGAAGAGCUUGGUAACCGAGUAGGGCCUGGUAUCGUAGGAGAGCCUGGCUACCAAGACCCAACAAGGCCGCAACAAUUUGUAAUAUUUGUGAACCAACCUCAAGUCGUUCCCCCUCCCCCUCCAGGCGUACAAAAGCCAGGCAGUCUCCUUGUCUGUGCUAUUUUCGCCUGUCUGUGUUGUGCAUGGCCUUGCGGUGCCGUGGCCAUCUUUACAGAUGUGCAGAUGACAUAUUGUCCUCAAGCCAUUUUUUUACCUCCCACGGUCUGUAGAAUGUUGGCCCGAUCCCUCCGGCGUACUGUACUAUCCCGCUCUGAAUGAUGUAGAGACGUGUCGGCACUGCCCCAUAGGCUUCGUUAGCUGCAUUCUCCAUGGUAUCCACUAAGAGCGGAGUGCGCAGUGUUUUGGUGCCAAGAAGUUUCUUUGCAGCAUCACAUCGCUCCAUCAACGACUUGUGCUGUCUGAUAGUUUCAUUGUUCUAUGAGAAAAGGUUAUAAUGAUGAGACUAUCGACACCUGUACCCAUAUUGUGUGAUUGCGUGAUAGACAUGCUAUCGCGCUGUGGUAUUUACAAAAAGCGCAACGGCAUGCGAGCUUUUGCGCGAUGCUCAGUUAAAUAGUCACUGCACCCACGCAAAAUGCUGUCUAGCAAUCAAGACAGCGCCUACUAUAACCAUCACGCACACAUGAAUUGCGAUUAUCCUCUCAGCCAAGUACGCAUUAAAGGCUAGUAUCUACCUCGCGAGGGUCUAAGCUUUGCCAAAAAUGUCGUAUGCAUACCUUAAGAAACCACUCGUCCGUUGGAUGUGCUUCCUUUACGUACACCGUCACAAACUUCGCAGUUGCUUUAAAGCUCUCUACAAGCUCGCCAAACUCGCCCAAACGAGCUCUGAACACUGGACAAGUGUAACUUCCAAAGUUGACCACCAGAGGCAUUCCGUCUUGCGCAAAGUCCAGUAAACGGAAGCUCACGCUGCCAUCUACUGAAAAGAGCUCAGGGUUUGGAGCCUCGAGGCCGCAGAUAGCUGGCUUAUUCAGCUCGGUCCAGAUCAUUCGCUGGUGCGUCUUCAGCAUCUCCAAACCAAACAGCCCGUCGCAGUACAUCUCCCGCGGGAGCUCAAUCGUGGACGCUGCCUUAAAAAAGCGCGCUAUGAUUCCCUCCGAGUACGGAAGUAAAUGCAGUAAUUUAAAAAAAACAAAUGCAAACGCCAUAGCUGCACUGCUUAGGUAGAAUAGUAACAAGACUUUGAGGUGCUCGAUUGUCAUUUUUGCUGCGUAACAACUUUUGCAGGAGAUGCGUCUAGCUCCGAGGCCUAACCAAUUAUGCUCUCCACGGCCCUUGAGUGCGAUCUUAUGACUUGGGAAAAUAUUCUAGUAAUUUGUAUUCCGUGCACUAGCUAGGAUAACUGACCUUUGUUGCACUCCGCCAAAAACCCCGAGAGCCACAAGCGCAUUGGACGAGAACUCAAAAUAAGUAAACAAAUCGCGCUAAAGAAAGACACUGUGUUUUCGCGCAUUCUGUGUUGUUUUUUUCUGUUCGCUCAUGUUUGUUGCUCGUUGGGCUAUUGUAGGCGCAGAACGCAGCGCAUUUGGCUCUGGCUGCGGGGCCCGGCAGGUUCACUCCAUCGCCUUUGAGUCGUGUUUGCCGCCAUUGUGGAGCGGCAUGCAGUGUGUUGACCUUUGGUAAGCCAUGCCUCGCGCACAAGCUCCUUUAUGCACGCAACGCUUAGCCCUUAAACGCCCAACAAGCGCAUUGAUAUUGCCUCUGUCAGGUAGAUACUUGGCAUGGCAACAUACCUAAUUAAAUAUAAGGUCAUUGCAGCGUCGAGAGGACAAAGCGUAUAUCUUUAAAAAAAACGCGCUCAAGUCAGACAAACCAUCAUUGUCAUAACAGAACUCCUAGCAAAUAGACUUUAAAAUUCCAUGCUUAUUGUAAACACCAAGCCAUGCUCGCGCCAGAUAAACUUUAGUAAAGGGACAAUUAUAGGCUAGUCCCUCUCCCUUUUAUGUAGUCUUCCAAGAGAUUGCCAAGAUUUGAUAAAGCCUGUGUCAUACACGAACUGUGCUCCAGUAGCGCGGCUCACGCGAUUGCUCGCUAAUACUCUUAACACUUAGCUCUGUUAAAGAGAAACUUCCGGUUAUAACACUCAACAGUAACGACUAGGCGGAGAGUGUAAUCACUCUCGUACGUCCGGAAGUACUUAAUUACCCCUAUCAACAAGAUAGUUUCCGGUUCGUUUUGUGAGCAAAGUAAACUUGAUGUAACAAUGAUACAGUAGACAAGUGAUUUCUAGAUAACGUUAUUAUUGACCCCUACUGAGAAAGUCCUAUCGAUUCGCUCGAAGCGCGACGCACUUGAUUACUAAUGUAAGUAUUAAAUUUGCUAUCUAUAAAAUGAUGAUGCAAGUACAACGCUCAAUUACAAGUAAAUAGACACUGCACAU
Molecule: long non-coding RNA, 3561 nt
Organism: Nematostella vectensis (starlet sea anemone)
Lineage: Eukaryota; Metazoa; Cnidaria; Anthozoa; Actiniaria; Edwardsiidae
Exons: 4
Source: RefSeq, a predicted model, not a curated record